Molecule: ribosomal RNA, 479 nt
Filed under: uncultured anaerobic ammonium-oxidizing bacterium
Lineage: Bacteria
Description: bacterial SSU rRNA
Rfam family: Bacterial small subunit ribosomal RNA
Source: RNAcentral
UUUCGCAAUGCCCGAAAGGGUGACGAAGCGACGCCGCGUGGGUGAGGAAGGCCUUCGGGUUGUAGAGCCCUGUCAGGAGUUAUGAAAUGUAAGUGCGCUAAUAUCGUGCUUAUUUGACAAAGGCUCCAAAGGAAGCCACGGCUAACUCUGUGCCAGCAGCCGCGGUAAUACAGAGGUGGCGAGCGUUGUUCGGAAUUAUUGGGCGUAAAGAGCACGUAGGUGGGUUUGCAAGUCAGAUGUGAAAGCCUUCUGUUCAACGGAAGAAUUGCAUCUGAAACUGCUAAUCUUGAGUAUAGGAGGGGAGAAUGGAACUUCUGGUGGAGCGGUGAAAUGCGUAGAUAUCAGAAGGAACGCCGGCGGCGAAAGCGAUUCUCUGGCCUAUUACUGACACCCAGUGUGCGAAAGCUAGGGGAGCAAACGGGAUUAGAUACCCCGGUAGUCCUAGCCGUAAACGAUGGGCACUAAGUAGAGGGGUUUUA